This 405-nucleotide long non-coding RNA is filed under the name Mytilus galloprovincialis (Mediterranean mussel). Lineage: Eukaryota; Metazoa; Mollusca; Bivalvia; Mytilida; Mytilidae. The record is from RNAcentral.
GCCUUCAAAAUGAAUAAAAAUUAAAGUGCUUGAAAGCACUGAGGGUAUAGAUUUCUUCAAUUUAUCAGUGGGAAGUAAAAGUAAAUAUUGCAUUGAUUGUAGUUGAUUUAACAGCAAUUCUAGACAAAGGAUGAUAACUCCAAUUGUUCCAAGAUGAGUUAAACAAUGACACCAUUUAUAUUUUUAGAACAGAUAUUAGAUUCCUGCACCUUUCAAAAGUCAUGUAUUUUUUUGACAAGUGUAACAUCAUUUUGUGCUUAUAAUAUCUGAGCAUAUAUUACAUUGAUAAAUUUCUGGAAAUGUUCAUGGACAAACCUUGGAAGAUUUAUAUAUCAAUCCAGUCUCAUAAGGUUUUGAUUGCAUUUCAUGCAAUCUUUACCUAAAAAUCAAAAGCUAUCAACAGUA